This is a non-coding RNA of Pelobates cultripes (western spadefoot toad), 304 nucleotides long. The record is from the annotation of a GenBank genome assembly. Lineage: Eukaryota; Metazoa; Chordata; Amphibia; Anura; Pelobatidae.
AGUCCUAAUAAUAGUCCAAAGUAUAGUGCACUAUACAAUUCAUAAGUAAAUGGAUGGAUCUCACCAAAAAAUUCGUCAACUUGGUAGUAUAUUCAGUAGGAGGGUGGUAAAUCUUGUAGAUGAUAUAUCUUGAAUGAGGGUGAAAAUGAGUUAUAGCUCGAUGAGAAGGUAAUCACUUAUCCAUUCUGUGGAAUCUGGUCAGUCUGACAGGUCUUAAUCGUGGGCAAUCCUGUAAUCGGGCUGAAAAUGGGCUGCGCGCUCGGGACGUUCCUGUCCCUUCGAAGGCCCCUGUUCCUCUCCGUCC